UCUGGCUGUGAUGACAAACUUGCCCUCACUGCGAACACUUGUUCAAUGAUGAGAACAACGUCGUACUCAACUUGAUCUGAGCCAUA
Spea bombifrons (plains spadefoot toad) is the source of this 86-nucleotide small nucleolar RNA. RefSeq annotates it as small nucleolar RNA SNORD103/SNORD85. Lineage: Eukaryota; Metazoa; Chordata; Amphibia; Anura; Pelobatidae. The record is from RefSeq and is a predicted model, not a curated record. The transcript has a single exon.